GUCUAUGGCCAUACCCUGAACGCACCCGAUCUCGUCUGAUCUCAGAAGCUAAGCAGGGUCGGGCCUGGUUAGUACAUGGAUGGGAGAAAAUACAGGUGAAGAUA
Molecule: ribosomal RNA, 104 nt
Filed under: Castor canadensis (American beaver)
Lineage: Eukaryota; Metazoa; Chordata; Mammalia; Rodentia; Castoridae
Source: RNAcentral